Macaca mulatta (Rhesus monkey) is the source of this 3259-nucleotide non-coding RNA. Lineage: Eukaryota; Metazoa; Chordata; Mammalia; Primates; Cercopithecidae. The record is from RefSeq and is a predicted model, not a curated record.
UCCGCCAAGUGCGCGUGCGCAGCGGCCAGGGCCCCGACCCCGCCUCAGUCUUCCUGGGCGGCGGUGGGCGUCAGCUUCUCUGCGCUCCGCGGCCUCACAGCACUCGCGCGUGACCCCCGCCUGCCCCUAGUCAGCUCAGCUGUGCUGCCAUGGCGUGGCGGCGGCCCGAGGCCGGCGUUGGGGCCCGCGGCGGGCUGGCUCUGGCGUUGCUCGCCCUGGCCCUGUGCGCGCCCGGGGCCCGGGGCCGGGCUCUCGAGUGGUUCUCGGCCGUGGUGAGCAUCGAGUACGUGGACCCGCAGACCAACCUGACGGUGUGGAGCGUCUCGGAGAGCGGCCGCUUCGGCGACAGCUCGCCCAAGGAGGGCGCUCAGGGCCUGGUGGGCGUCCCGUGGGCGCCCGGCGGAGACCCCGAGGGCUGCGCGCCCGACACGCGCUUCUUCGUGCCCGAGCCCGGCGGCCGAGGGGCCGCGCCCUGGGUCGCCCUGGUGGCUCGCGGGGGCUGCACCUUCAAGGACAAGGUGCUGGUGGCGGCGCGGAGGAACGCCUCGGCCGUGGUCCUCUACAACGAGGAGCGCUACGGGAACCUCACCAUGCCCAUGUCCCAUGCGGGAACAGGAAAUAUAGUGGUCAUUAUGAUUAGCUAUCCAAAAGGAAGAGAAAUUUUGGAGCUGGUGCAGAAAGGAAUUCCAGUAACGAUGACCAUAGGGGUUGGCACUCGGCACGUACAGGAGUUCAUCAGCGGUCAGUCUGUGGUGUUUGUGGCCAUCGCCUUCAUCACCAUGAUGAUUAUCUCGUUAGCCUGGCUAAUAUUUUACUAUAUACAGCGUUUCCUAUAUACUGGCUCUCAGAUUGGAAGUCAGAGCCAUAGAAAAGAAACUAAGAAAGUUAUUGGCCAGCUUCUACUUCAUACUGUAAAGCAUGGAGAAAAGGGAAUUGAUGUUGAUGCUGAAAAUUGUGCAGUGUGUAUUGAAAAUUUCAAAGUAAAGGAUAUUAUUAGAAUUCUGCCAUGCAAGCAUAUUUUUCAUAGAAUAUGCAUUGACCCAUGGCUUUUGGAUCACCGAACAUGUCCAAUGUGUAAACUUGAUGUCAUCAAAGCCCUAGGAUAUUGGGGAGAGCCUGGAGAUGUCCAGGACAUGCCUGCUCCAGAAUCUCCUUCUGGAAGGGAUCUGGCUGCAAAUUUGAGUCUAACUUUACCAGAGGACGACGGAAGUGAUGAGAGCAGCCCACCAUCAGCCUCCCCCGCUGAAUCGGAGCCACAGUGCGAUGCCAGCUUUAAAGGAGAUGCAGGGGAAAAUACGGCAUUGCUAGCCCCGUCUGCUGUCCUGUUUCCUCGGCUCCUUGGUGUCUGGACUGGCGUUCUGGGUGUCCCAGCGGAAAACUAAAGGGCCAGAGAGGUGUAAACACACACACCACUUGGCAGGUAAUUUCCCCAUGUGCUAUCUUUUUAGGGAUCCUGAACACACAGCCUUUCCCAAAAGACUGCUCCCUCCAGCUACUGAGGAAUGAUGACAAGAAAAGGCCGAAUUGCAGUGUCUCCAUCAGCAGUUUGCUCUCUCUGGGCACACGAUGACAAAAUUUCCUGAAGCGAACCACUAGUCUGACCUCAGUAGCAGGAUUGGAAGCUUCAUGCCAUGGGAGUGGUCAAGAAAGGCAUCCCAAAGAGAACUGAACUAUUUAAAAAAAAAAAAUAGACCUUUAGGAAUAGGUGAUUGUCCCCAUAUACUGGGGAUGAAAUACCCAGUGUAACCAAAUUCCCCAGUAAGAUCGCUUAGUUUGGCAAUAGUCUCUUCUUUUGAGCACGCUGAAGUUUAUUUGCUCAAUGAAGGCUGAAAUUGUAAGUCAGUAUAUAUGUAUUACUAAGUAGAACUUGAGGUGAAGAUAUUAAAGCUAGAAAUUGGAACCAGAAAAUCUAAAGAAUUCAAGGCAUCUUAACGUGACAGUUGAAUUGAUCUCAUUUGAUUACAAAGUUUAUUGCAGUUAUUGAAUCUUUUUUUGAGUGCAGUGGUGCCAUUGAUGCUUACUGCAGCCUCAAUCUCCCAGGCUCAAGAAAUCUUCCCACCUCAGCUUCCAGAGUAGCUGGGACUACAGGUGCAUGCCACGCCUUGUUAUUUUUUUAUUUUUUCAAUAUAAACGAGGUCUUGCUGUGUCAUCCAGUCUGGUCUUGAACUCCAGUGAUCCUCCCACCUUAGCCUCCCAAAGUGCUGGAAUUACAGGCGUGAGCCACCAAACCUAGCCACCAAUUUUACUUUAGGUAAACUUUUAUUUUCAAGCAGCUUUUGUUGGUGUUGCAAGUACAAAUCAUGACUGUUUUAUAAAAUGUUCUAUAAAUAUAACCACUAUUCUUUGUAAGCCAUUUAAAAUUUUAGUCUUUCAAGUAAACACCAAUAUUGUGGUUUUGAUCCUCACUUACGAAGUUCCUAUUUGAGAACCUCCCUACUAAAAUUUAUUUGUAACCCCAAAAUCACCACAUGCAGUCAUUUUCAGACAUGCACAGAGCAGUGAAUGAGCCAAGCUGCCUGACAUGCACGUUUCUGACGGAGGCUGGAGGGGAUGCCAUGCCUUGUUUCCUCUCCUACUACAAACAGGUGUCCUUUCAUAGUCUUUUCAGUACCAUGUUCUUUGCAUUUCUGCACUUUUUGUUGGCGAUUUCACUAUUUAAAAUGGCCCCCAGGUAUAGCAAAAUAUUGUCUACUGCUUUAAAGGCAACAAGGCUGUGAUGUGCCUCAUGGACUCAGUGUCUGUUACAUCAGCUUCACUCAGGCAUGAGUGAUUGUGGUGUUGGCUGUGAGUUCAAUGUUUUAUUAUGCCAGAGAAUCUGUAGGUCCUGUAGGUCCUGGAACCUAAGGCUGGGUUGUUGAAACCACCACUCCAAAAGUACUUCAGUAAUAAGCUGUUCUUUUCCCAAUGCUAACGGGGAUGCUCACUUUUAGGUGUAGAAAGAAAUCACUUGUUGCCAUUGUUUUAAUUGUCUGAAGGCAUUCCUCUGAUAGAUGGGCUUAGUUCAUUAUUUCCUCUAAGCAAACGUUCUUAAACAUUUCUCUUAUAGUGAAAAAAUAAGACAAUUUGUUACAAAUCUUUGGUACUGCUUUCUCCAGAGUUUUAAGAUUGGAACUUUUACUUACCUUAAAAUCACUUGGCUUGGUUUCCUUUAACUUUUUCAAAGAGUUAGAGAGUAAUUCCUGUUGAACAGAUUAUCUUCCUUGUAAAUACACUUUGAAAAUACCUCAGUAAAAGGAAUUUCUCAUGAUUUCUUAAAAAA